AACGAACGCUGGCGGCAUGCCUAACACAUGCAAGUCGAACGAGACCUUCGGGUCAAGUGGCGCACGGGUGCGUAACGCGUGGGAAUCUGCCCUGGGGUGCGGAAUAACUCGGAGAAAUCCGUGCUAAUACCGCAUAAUGUCUUCGGACCAAAGAUUUAUCGCCCUGGGAUGAGCCCGCGUAGGAUUAGCUAGUUGGUGGGGUAAAGCCUACCAAGGCGACGAUCCUUAGCUGGUCUGAGAGGAUGAUCAGCCGCACUGGGACUGAGACACGGCCCAGACUCCUACGGGAGGCAGCAGUGGGAAUAUUGGACAAUGGGCGAAAGCCUGAUCCAGCAAUGCCGCGUGAGUGAUGAAGGCCCUAGGGUUGUAAAGCUCUUUUACCCGGGAUGAUAAUGACAGUACCGGGAGAAUAAGACUCCGGCUAACUCCGUGCCAGCAGCCGCGGUAA
This 448-nucleotide ribosomal RNA is filed under the name uncultured bacterium. RNAcentral describes it as "bacterial SSU rRNA". It matches the Rfam family "Bacterial small subunit ribosomal RNA", at positions 29 to 523 of the family's 1533-position model. The record is from RNAcentral.